AGAGGAAGGAGAGAAAUACACCCUCCUCUCUUUCCCCUGUCUCCCCAUCCAUCUCACCAAAUCUGGGGAGGUAAGAAGACAGCUAACUGGUGGCAAUGAUACAGGAAAUACUUCUACUCCUGCUGCUGGCAGUCAGGGCCUCACCAGUGUUGAUGGCUGAGGUGUCAGUACUGGAGGGAAGCUCUGUGACCCUUCUCUGCGGAUACUCUGUGAAGGAUCACGGGUAUGACACAUGCUGGGGCAGAAACUGUUAUUACAAUUUCCUGGGUGAAUGUGGAUGUUCUGAACCCAGAGUGAUCAAGAAAGCUGCCAUCUCACCUAAUGACCCCAAAAAAUACAGCCUCAGCGGGGAAAACCUCACCAUUUCCAACCUUCAGUUGAAGGACGGGGGGAGUUACUGCUGUUGUGUAGAUAUCACAGGUGUAUUUUACCGAGACUAUACAGAAUAUUACAAUCUAAAGGUAGUAAAAGGCAAGUGUUCAUAAUUCAUUGUCAUUGCUUGGUGCAUGUAUUCUAAUUGUGAGCAAAAUGUAGGUUUAUUUACAUUAAAUACUGUAAACUACACUGCAACAUGCUGCAUUGUUGAUUGGACAUUGGCAUCCAUUGUCCAGGUAGAACACCUGAAUAUACCACUUGAUACCUUGUCUCUCUAGUCCAGUAUUGUUUAUU
Molecule: long non-coding RNA, 669 nt
Organism: Oncorhynchus kisutch (coho salmon)
Lineage: Eukaryota; Metazoa; Chordata; Actinopteri; Salmoniformes; Salmonidae
Exons: 3
Source: RefSeq, a predicted model, not a curated record